UUAUAAUAUUCUAGGCUAUAUAUUAUACUGGAAUGCAUCUAUCCACACAUUCCAAUUUUUUUAAUGAUUUCUCCAAAGUUGGCCUCAUUUUACAGAUAUUUUAUGUUCUCACUCAUAAAACACAUACACAUCAAAUAAUUAACUCUAGUGUCACAGUGUGAACUCAAAUAACACACAAUUAGCAAGCAUUCAGUAGCAAAACUGAUGACACCAGUCAGAAUCUCAGGAUAGUAUAAACAGGAGCACAGGUGACUGCUUUAAAAAUGCAUCCUAGCACUGAAGAGAGAGCUGAAAGAACCACACAGUGUAGUACAGUAUAGUAACUAUAAUAACAGUACUUUAUUACAGCUACAGUGUUCUGAGUUGAUCUCACUAGUGUUCACUGGGCAGGGAAGUUGUCUGAUUCUAAUUAGUUAUUUUAAAAAAGCAUGCAAACCGAUUGCCUUGAAAAAAAAACAAGUAAAGUGAAAUAAGAAUAGUAAUUUGUACUAACAAAGGUUUAUUUGUUGUAAACUUACACUCAAGUUCUUGUAACUCAGAAUCACUUUUUUCAACAACUAAAUUAUUAAUUGCAAUAUACUAUGUGCGUAUUUCAAACAACUCAUUUAAGUUUAGCUAAAUCAAGUAACAUUUCUAAGUUGUAUUUACUUGAACAGCAAUCUAGUUUUAACCAAUUGCCUUAAAUAAAAAAAACAAAAAAAAGAAGAAGUUAGCGUUACUCCAGUAACUUAAUAUGGUUCAAACAUCCAUUAAAAAUUCAUGACAACAAUGUUCUAUUCUUCACACACAUAAUUACCCAUAAAUCAAAGGUAGUGACAGUUCAAAGUUAAAGAUAAUAUAUUUUUUAUAUUUUUCAAUGCAGUUUUAACUUGUAUUACAAACAUUUUGAAACAAAGCAAAAACUGUCUGCUUUUGUUUAUACUAAACAGUGGAGGUAGCAGUAAGAUGAGAUUAAGUAUGGCAAUGAGUUGGCCACACAAGUUGCCAGUGUUUUUUUUUUUCUGUCCCAAGUCAAGCAUCAUAUUGUAAGUGUUCUUCACAGUAUCAGGGUAAUCUUCAUGUACCAGUAAUCCAAACGUAGCACAUGGCGGUCCGGAAGCAAAUGUGCGAGGUAGACCCUGGAGACGGUUCUUUGCAGUACUACACUGAACAAUGAUGGCAGAAGACACAGGGUCAAGGCAGAGAAGAUUUGGAGAAGUACUUCAUCUUCAGUGAUAGUCAGCAAGCCAACAGAUACUAGUGCCCAGACUGCAUCAAUAUCAGACACCUGUAUAAAACCAAAUAAAAACAAUAUUAGCAGGGAAAUGAGGAUGAUCAGUUUUCAGUGUUAUCUGUCUUGCCUACACUGCCAUGCCAUUGGGUUAGUUCACCCAAACUUGAAAUUCAUGUCAUCAUUUACUCACCCCUAAUUUUUUUUUUUUUUUUCGGAACACAAAUAAAGACAUUUUCAGUGAAAUCUGAGAAAUUUCUGUCCUUUAACUGAAUGUCUAUUUACCCAACACUUUAGACAGUUGAUCAUAUAGCAAUCAUGUCUUUUCAUAGACUUGAUUCGCUUUUCCACUGUCAGGCCAAACCAUUCUUAAUUCUCAAUGCUUAACCAUUCCAUGCUGUGACAAUACGGAUAUAGUUCAAUUUUUCACUGUUGGGCUGUUAACAGAGCUCUUUUGAAUGCAACAUAAAUGUGUCAGUCAUUGCCUUAGUAAUGCAAUAGUUAAGAUAUCGUACCUGAUGUAAAUAGCACCCAUGUUAUGAAAGAUUAAAUAUUACUUUUAACUUUACUAUUAACUUGUUUACUUCACUCAAAUAGCAUGUUGGCCAGCUACAGAGAAACUGGUGGCUAGGCAAAAGACAAACGACCAACCCUGAGCAGCGACGUCACUCCAGGUGUUCUACAGCAUGGUUCAUUGUGUUCAGCUAAGAGCUCUGGAUCAAGAACAGUUCAUCAGACCAUGCCUAACAGAGUUUAAGUGGAAAUAUAACUGAAACUGCUCCUUACAAUUCAUUGAACAGUUUGGCCCAAAAAAGUAGAUUAAUCGGCUCCAUUCAUAUAGAUUGAUUUGAGAUUUGUCAGAGAUUUGGGUUAUGUAUCUUCAUUCGUGUCAUGAAGAUGCAGACUUUUUUAUGGAAUAAAAUGACAGAAGGGAGAUUAAAUGGCACAUUUUUCAUUUUUAAUUGAACUAGGUAGUUAAUCAACAUUAAUCUUUAUAAAGGUACCUCAGUAAUAUACCAGCAAAUACACAGGUAUUUUUUCUAAAAUGUGUUUUUUUUAAGGUGUAACUAUGAGAACUUACAAAGCGGGUCAAUUGUAGAAGUAUCUGGGGUGAUCAUGAAGUAAAACAGGUACAGUAGGCCUCAGAUGGGUGUGUAGUUCUGACGAAUCUGGGUUCUAGAAGUAAGAAAAGAAAAACAAAGUUUAAGAAAUUAAAAAAUUACAGUAGAAACAUGUUUGUCAAAGUGUCAAUAAAGAAGUCAUUGACGCUGUUUAUUUUAAAUAUUAUUAUUAAAUAUAAU
Long non-coding RNA from Cyprinus carpio carpio, 2511 nucleotides. The record is from Ensembl. Lineage: Eukaryota; Metazoa; Chordata; Actinopteri; Cypriniformes; Cyprinidae.